Molecule: non-coding RNA, 24 nt
Filed under: Arabidopsis thaliana (thale cress)
Lineage: Eukaryota; Viridiplantae; Streptophyta; Magnoliopsida; Brassicales; Brassicaceae
Source: RNAcentral
AUGCACUGAUUUGGGACACAAUGU